UACGUAGGGGGCUAGCGUUGUCCGGAAUCAUUGGGCGUAAAGCGCGUGUAGGCGGUCCGGUAAGUCCGCUGUGAAAGUCGGGGGCUCAACCCUCGGAUGCCGGUGGAUACUGUCGGGCUUGAGUACGGAAGAGGCGAGUGGAAUUCCUGGUGUAGCGGUGAAAUGCGCAGAUAUCAGGAGGAACACCAAUUGCGAAGGCAGCUCGCUGGGCCGACACUGACGCUGAUGCGCGAAAGCCAGGGGAGCGAACGGG
This 253-nucleotide ribosomal RNA is filed under the name uncultured bacterium. RNAcentral describes it as "partial 16S ribosomal RNA". It matches the Rfam family "Bacterial small subunit ribosomal RNA", at positions 524 to 776 of the family's 1533-position model. The record is from RNAcentral.